Long non-coding RNA from Juglans microcarpa x Juglans regia, 159 nucleotides. RefSeq lists it as uncharacterized. The record is from RefSeq and is a predicted model, not a curated record. Lineage: Eukaryota; Viridiplantae; Streptophyta; Magnoliopsida; Fagales; Juglandaceae. The transcript is spliced from 3 exons.
UUUUUUUUUUUUUUUUUUUGAAGUAAUCGAUAUUAUAUAAAUAGAGAUAGGCAAAAUCUAAGUACACAAGAUGAUAUGCAAGAGAUAAGAUCUAUCUAGGUCGAAGUAAGGGAAACUAGGAAGUCAUGAAAAUUUUGGCCAUUAAACAGGGAUCCAAGU